GACGAACGCUGGCGGCGUGCUUAACACAUGCAAGUCGAACGGAAAGGCCCUGAUAUUGUGGGGUGCUCGAGUGGCGAACGGGUGAGUAACACGUGAGUAACCUGCUCUUGACUUUGGGAUAACUUCAGGAAACUGGGGCUAAUACCGGAUAGGAGCUCCUGCUGCAUGGUGGGGGUGGGAAAGUUUCGGCGGGCGGGGAUGGACUCGCGGCUUAUCAGCUUGUUGGUGGGGUAGUGGCUUACCAAGGCUUUGACGGGUAGCCGGCCUGAGAGGGUGGCCGGCCACAUGGGGACUGCGGUACGGCCCAGUCGCGUACGGGAGGCAGCAGUGGGGAACAUUGCACAAUGGGCGGGAGCCUGUGGAGGCGGCGCCGCGUUCGGAAUGACGGCCUUCUGGUUAUGAACCGCUGUCGCUUAUGACGAAGCGUUAGUGACGGUAAUGAGUAAAGAAGCACCGGCUAACUACGUG
This 468-nucleotide ribosomal RNA is filed under the name uncultured bacterium. Its description in RNAcentral is "partial 16S ribosomal RNA". It matches the Rfam family "Bacterial small subunit ribosomal RNA", at positions 28 to 507 of the family's 1533-position model. The record is from RNAcentral.